AAAAACAGAGAAUGACCGCACUCAGGGACUUGUAAAUAUCACUAAAACUUAACUUUUAAUGUUCAAAAUAAAUCAAAUCAAUUUAUUUGAUUUAUUUUGAACAUUAAAAGUUAAGUGUUAGUGAUAUUUACAAGUCCCUGAGUGCGGUCAUUCUCUGUUUUU
Pelobates cultripes (western spadefoot toad) is the source of this 162-nucleotide non-coding RNA. NCBI's taxonomy places the organism in Eukaryota, Metazoa, Chordata, Amphibia, Anura, Pelobatidae. The record is from the annotation of a GenBank genome assembly.